GUUCUUCAUCUCUGGGAAAUCAGUGACCCAUGGACUGGACAAUAACUUUGAGCCAUGCAGUCAAAAUAAAAUGGAAUAUUUAAGUGAAAGAUCAGGUUCUGGAAAAUAAAACUGCUCGUAGCUGCAUAUUAUCUACCGAACUUAGGUGGAUUCUCAGAAAGAAAAAGGUGAUGUUCACUGGCAUGAACAGUGAAUGGUGGAGUGGAACGUGAACAGGCUGGAGCUCUGGCUGUGCCAUUUAUUAGCCAUGUGCCUUUAGAAGGUCCUCAUCUUCUCCAGCCUCAGUUUCACCAUCUGUAAUGGAGUAUCCAUGACCCAGAGAGAGUAUCAGUGUCAAGAAUCUGCCAGUGAGAAAGUGAUUUGAAGCAGCUCUGGAGUUCAGAUGGCCACGGGUGCAAGUGCCUGCUCUGGUGUGCUUUGCCUCUGGAAAGAUGCCAAGUCUUUGAGAAUCUUUGCUGCAUCAGCCAUGCUACAUCCUGAGGACUUGGAGGUGAGGAAAUCCUGUGUGCACUUGUUUCCUUCCCUUCAAAUGAUAUAUCCCAGAAAAAUGGCAAGCUCUCUGCUUACUAACUCUUUUCUUUUUCUUUAGUUCCCCCUUAGCUUUCUCUCUCCUUUCUUCCGUCUUUCUCUUGCCUCCUUUCAUUUUUGGUAAAAUCCAAAGCGAAAUGUCAACUCAGAGGACAUAGCUGUUUGUCUUCACCACCUACAAACUGUAUUUCCUGGAUCAAGC
This 730-nucleotide long non-coding RNA is filed under the name Homo sapiens (human). Its description in RNAcentral is "non-protein coding lnc-FGGY-6:2". The record is from RNAcentral. Lineage: Eukaryota; Metazoa; Chordata; Mammalia; Primates; Hominidae.